ACCGCGGCGUGGCCCUCCCCUUCGAAGGCCUGCCUCAUGAAGACCACCCCAUGCCUCCCAGCAGCCGGAGUUCUUCGAUCCUCCCAGUGCAGCCAGCUCAGACGCCGCCCCCUCCUCAUGUGCCAGAUCUCGGUCGACGCGACGACGCCUAACCGAGGAAUUCUCCUCCUCGGCCAAGUCUGCUGCGCCAUCGCUCUCUUCACCGCCUGGAUCGGAGCCGCCAGCCACCACAUCGGGAUCGGAGACAGCGUCAUCCAUCAGGCGUGUAAAACUGGUUUAUGCCAUGAGUCAUGCAUCAUCCGUCAGGCCUGCCGUGCAGAGAAAGGUUCCUAAUUCCCGCUGUAGUGGUGAGCACGUAGUCGUUGCAGCGGUACACACACGUGUAAUACCGAUACGUUGGAUCGCUGACCACACCACCGUGCAUCGAGAACAUCAUCUGAAACAUCCUCAGACAGGUGAGGGAGAUGACGAUGGAGCAGGCCGCCGCCCUGGACGAAGGCUACAUGCGCAACAACAGCCCGACACAGCAGCUCAACGGCUGCACUGUGCAGCUAUAUCACCGGUCUGGGAGAACAAGACGAACGAGGCCUGAUCGAUGUGCAUCGGUCCUUUGAAGAUGAUGGCGCAAAAGUUAUUGCAGUUUCUUUUCUUUUUGGUUUCGUUUCACCA
Lolium rigidum is the source of this 669-nucleotide long non-coding RNA. RefSeq lists it as uncharacterized. The record is from RefSeq and is a predicted model, not a curated record. The transcript is spliced from 3 exons. Lineage: Eukaryota; Viridiplantae; Streptophyta; Magnoliopsida; Poales; Poaceae.